CAGAACUCGUCCUGCCCAAGCUGUCUGCAGUCUCAGCCAGGAAGACUCCACAGCCCUUUUAAACAGCCUGGGGGCCUUCACAGGGUUCUCCGAGUCCUCCCAAUGACACUGAGGGGGUGCACUCGACAGAUGGGGGGAGUGGGGCUCAGAGAGAUUGAGAGACCCAUGUCACCCAGGUAGCAAGCCUAUGCCUUCACAACAAUGAUCUGAGCCUCAUGUCAUACCUAUGCCUUUUUUCCUUGGACCCCCAGCUUCCCAGCAGCGUUACUCAUCCUUAGGCCAAAUUGGCAGCCUGUGGUCCAGGCUGGGCUCUUCCAGGCCCUGGCUUUGUGUAACAAAUACCUCCUUGUUUUGUGCCUUGGUUUCUCCAUCUCUAUGCCUCUAGUGUAGAGCCAUCUGGGCCUUAUGCUACUUAUAGGGCUGCUUCUUAAACUGGCUGAGGUCGUGUGUGCCCAAGAGCCUGGCAAACAGGAAAACGUUGUAUAAAUGUGUGUUGCUAUUACGGGGGUAGCGUAUGGAAAAAUCCAUAUGGUUUCCCUACCUGUAGCAAGCCUGGAGGAAGCCCCUAGGCCUGUGGCUGGUUCUAUCUUCAGGGUGACUUUGAUGGAUGUGGAUAGUUUUCCUUUUCAUAUUGACCCUAUUCUGCCAGAGCUGUUCAUCUUAGAAGCGGAGACCCAUGGGGUGUUGGAGCGGGAAGCUGCCUUAGAGAUCAAGCCCAGUGGCUUUCAAACUGGUAAAGAGUUCCAGGGUUCUGUGUCUAGGACUCUGAGGACAGCAGGUGUGGGCCCCAGCCUUCUUCCCAUCUCUAACUUCAGCCCAAGGAACUCUCCUUUUAUCUGUUCCAUAUCAUGGAGUCAUGUGAUAUUUCUUUAGAAAGGAGGGUCACGGUUGGCUCUCCAAUGUAUGUUCACACAAGAUGGCCAUCCUACUUUCCUUUUCAGUGAUUGGUUGGAAAUAGGCAUUUCUGGCCAAUGAGAGGUAAAAGGGAGUCUGAUAGGGGUUUGUGGGAAAAGUUUCCUGAUGCUAAAAAUGAAACACAAGAAAGAUGGAUUCUCUUCUCUCUUGGCUGGGAGUGUGCCUGGUUGUGAUGCAUGGUACUGUGGUACCCACGCUGUGCCCCCGAGGGAAGCCAGAAGGAGGACAGAGCUAAUCCAUGGAGAAUUGCUGAGUGCCUGAUGACAUUGCUGAGCAGCUGACCAUACCACCCCUGGAGUGAUCCUGUCUCUGGACUUUAUCAGAUGCAGCCUGGGUCCUCCUGCAAUGGAUGUGGUGCUGCCCCUGCCUGGAAGGUUCAAGCCAGGAUGGACACAUAUCACCUAGCCCGGAGAUGACCAAAUGUGUCUCAGCUGGACUCGUUCUGCAAAUGAAAUCUUAGGGAUGAAGCCCAGUGUGUAACUGAGAAGACUGGAGCUGCUAUGGGCCUGAUCCUCUCCCAUAGAAUGCUGGAGCUCUGAGAGCAGAGUUUGAAAACCACAGAUCUCAUGCCAAAUCCUCAUUUUACAGAGAAGGAAUCUGAGGCCCAAAGCAGGAAGACCGAAGGCACACCAGCAGGGCCAGAGAAAAGCUGUCACACAAAUGGGUUCAGCUUAUCUCAAUCCACACCCAUAAAUAUUUACUGCACCUGCUCGUCCUUCUGCACUAGCACAAAGUCCUGCUUGGGGCAGUGGGUGGCAGAGCCCACGGGACCUCGGUGCUAGUCUGUUGGUGAUGAAGAGGUUUUGAAGGUGAUCCUGGCUGUGCGGGCCUCUCCUGUGCUCAACGCCACCUCUGAGAGAAGGCAGUGGGAUUGGCAGUGGGGAGCUCCCAUUUUUGAACUCUGCUGCUGGAGCCUUAAGGAGGAGACAGGCCACACCUGGAGGCCUGGGCUGAGGAUAGAGUGGCUCCCAAGGAAACAAGAUGGGGGCCAGAUGGUUCCCGAUUCUAAAUCCUCCAGCCUCUGUGGUUUAGCCCUUUCAUGGUCCCCCUACCCUGUUGACCAAGGGAGUCCUUGGUGAGCUGCGUGUAGGGCAGGGUGAGAGAUCAGUGUCCUAGAAGGGAUGGUUAUGACUCAGUAGGCCCCUAGGAGUGUCCCUUGGGCACACCAUCUCCCUGGCUAGACUCAUGUCUGGGCUGGGAGUUGUCCCCUUGCCAAUGGACCCCCUGAACCUCCAUUUCUCUGGCCCCAAGGAAUGUGCUGGGUCCCAGGCCUUGUGACACCUCCGAAGGACAAGGGGCUAGUUCUCUGUUCCAGCCCCAAGAACGGCAUGGGGAGCACUGGCUUUUGUUGCAGGGGGUGGGGGUGCUCACCAGCCCAUUAGGCAGGCUAAGUGUUGUCUGCCUCCUCCACCUCUCCAUCCCCACUAGAAGCCACCAAGGAGGCUUGUUAAUUAUCUCAAUGAUUUCCACGUCGAUGGGCAGGUCUCGUUGGCCAGAAUCAAGGCUUGGGGCACUCCCCCAAUCCCAUUUACACACAGACUGAGGAGGGGGAGGGGGAGGAAUGCUAGAAACAGAAAUGAGGGAGAGAUGGCCAGGGGUGGGCAAGGGUCCCAAAGAGGAUGGGGAUGUCUACUGGCAUCUGAGGUGAGCUGGGCACGGGCCUGCAGGACGGAGUAGACUGCUAGCGGCUAGCUGCAGGCAAUGUCCUCAUCAUUAGGGGACUGAUGGAGAUAAACUGGUAUGUCUGUUGGUUUUAUAGAUUCUUCAUAGCCCUGUGCUCUGGGCCUUCUUCAGGGAGUGCCUGGCUGGAGGGGGCAGACCAGGUAAAAGGUGGGACUGCAUUGGGGUCUGGGCUGGGAGAGGGAGUAGAGAGCAAGCUGGGGUCCCAAGGCCUCACCUGACUGUGUGGAGUGGUUCAGGGAAAGGGGCUGAGGGCUGGGGACGGAUUCCUAAGGACCAUGCCACCUUGGCUAGGACAAGCUAGCAUGCAGCCAGCAAAAGGCAGAGGAAGUUGAGAAGGGAAGGAAAAGUCUCUCUUCAACACCACAGAAAGGAGAGGGAGUGGGAGAUGACACCCAGCUCAGGGGUCCUAUUUCCAGACACGUGCUUCUCGAUGGCACCUCAGUGCGUGGCUCCUGGAGACUCCACAUGGAGGGAAUCAGGAAGCUGGAGACCCAGCUCCCUAGGUUGGGCUAGGCAGGCUCUGGGCUAACAGCCACCUGAGGAGGGGCUCCCCCCCUAGCCACUGUGUCCUAGCGGCCUGGGGUCAACAAAGGGAGCUCAUUCUAAGCAUGCAGCCCUUGCUCCCAGGACUUGCAGUGGGCUGCUGUGUUUUGGCCAGGCCCGGGCUAGGGAGAUCCCUACAGUUCUGGAACAUGGUCCUUAUCCUGCCUCUGCCCCUUUGCUCCCCCAUCCAACGCCCUCCACCCAUCCCAAUCUACCACCCUUCAGGCUUGGUGUGAAUUCCCCUCCUCCCUCCAGUCUGUGCUGCAUGCUCUCUCACAUGUCCCAUGGGGUGGGAAGACAUGAAGUGGAUCUUGAAGGAUGCUAAAUUUGAUUUGGCUGUGAGAGGGAUGGCUGUUCUGUCUUUGGCUCUCUUUUCUCACCCAUCUCGAUCUCCCUGCUUCACCCUCUCCCCGGACAACACUGAUGUCCACGUUCAGACAACUCCAGGGCUCCAGCCCAGCACCUUCCCCUCCAGACCCACAUCUCUAAUGUCCAACCAGAUGCAUCAUCGUCUCCCCACGGAUUCCUGUCCACCCCCC
This 3680-nucleotide long non-coding RNA is filed under the name Equus caballus (horse). RNAcentral describes it as "lncRNA (ENSECAG00000060147.1)". Lineage: Eukaryota; Metazoa; Chordata; Mammalia; Perissodactyla; Equidae. The record is from RNAcentral.